This 450-nucleotide ribosomal RNA is filed under the name uncultured bacterium. RNAcentral describes it as "partial 16S ribosomal RNA". It matches the Rfam family "Bacterial small subunit ribosomal RNA", at positions 354 to 796 of the family's 1533-position model. The record is from RNAcentral.
GUGGGGAAUUUUGGACAAUGGGGGCAACCCUGAUCCAGCCAUCCCGCGUGUGCGAUGAAGGCCUUCGGGUUGUAAACUGCUUUUGUACGGAACGAAACGGUCCUGGUUAAUACCCGGGGCUAAUGACGGUACCGUAAGAAUAAGCACCGGCUAACUACGUGCCAGCAGCCGCGGUAAUACGUAGGGUGCAAGCGUUAAUCGGAAUUACUGGGCGUAAAGCGUGCGCAGGCGGUGCUGUAAGACAGGCGUGAAAUCCCCGGGCUUAACCUAGGAAUUGCGCUUGUGACUGCAGUGCUGGAGUGCGGCAGAGGGGGAUGGAAUUCCGCGUGUAGCAGUGAAAUGCGUAGAUAUGCGGAGGAACACCGAUGGCGAAGGCAAUCCCCUGGGCCUGCACUGACGCUCAUGCACGAAAGCGUGGGGAGCAAACAGGAUUAGAAACCCGUGUAGUCC